GACGAACGCUGGCGGCGUGCUUAACACAUGCAAGUCGAACGGAAAGGCCCUGCUUUUGUGGGGUGCUCGAGUGGCGAACGGGUGAGUAACACGUGUGUAACCUGCCCUUGACUUUGGGAUAACUUCGGGAAACUGGGGCUAAUACCGGAUAGGAGCUCCUGCUGCAUGGUGGGGGUUGGAAAGUUUCGGCGGUUGGGGAUGGACUCGCGGCUUAUCAGCUUGUUGGUGGGGUAGUGGCUUACCAAGGCUUUGACGGGUAGCCGGCCUGAGAGGGUGACCGGCCACAUUGGGACUGAGAUACGGCCCAGACUCCUACGGGAGGCAGCAGUGGGGAAUAUUGCACAAUGGGCGGAAGCCUGAUGCAGCAACGCCGCGUGCGGGAUGACGGCCUUCGGGUUGUAAACCGCUUUCGCCUGUGACGAAGCGUGAGUGACGGUAAUGGGUAAAGAAGCACCGGCUAACUACGUG
RNAcentral lists this ribosomal RNA (468 nucleotides) under uncultured bacterium. Its description in RNAcentral is "partial 16S ribosomal RNA". It matches the Rfam family "Bacterial small subunit ribosomal RNA", at positions 28 to 507 of the family's 1533-position model. The record is from RNAcentral.